RNAcentral lists this ribosomal RNA (460 nucleotides) under uncultured bacterium. RNAcentral's name for it is "partial 16S ribosomal RNA". It matches the Rfam family "Bacterial small subunit ribosomal RNA", at positions 338 to 795 of the family's 1533-position model. The record is from RNAcentral.
CCUACGGGUGGCAGCAGUGAGGAAUAUUGGUCAAUGGCCGGAAGGCUGAACCAGCCAAGUCGCGUGAGGGAAGACGGUCCUAUGGAUUGUAAACCUCUUUAGGCGGGGAGCAAUGCCGUGCACGCGUGCCCGGAGGGAGAGUACCCGCAGAAUAAGCGUCGGCUAACUCCGUGCCAGCAGCCGCGGUAAUACGGAGGAUGCGAGCGUUAUCCGGAUUUAGUGGGUUUAAAGGGUGCGUAGGCGGAUUUUUAAGUCAGCGGUAAAAUGUCCGGGCUCAACCCGGGCCGGCCGUUGAAACUGGGGAUCUUGAGUGGGCGAGAAGUAUGCGGAAUGCGGGGUGUAGCGGUGAAAUGCAUAGAUAUCACGCAGAACUCCGAUUGCGAAGGCAGCAUACCGGCGCCCGACUGACGCUGAGGCAUGAAAGCGUGGGGAUCGAACAGGAUUAGAUACCCGAGUAGUC